Molecule: ribosomal RNA, 441 nt
Filed under: uncultured bacterium
Lineage: Bacteria
Description: bacterial SSU rRNA
Rfam family: Bacterial small subunit ribosomal RNA
Source: RNAcentral
GCAGCCUUAUGGGUUGUAAACCUCUUUUUUCAGGGAGGAAAAAAAAUGACGUGUACCUGAAGAAUAAGCAUCGGCUAACUCCGUGCCAGCAGCCGCGGUAAGACGGAGGAUGCAAGUGUUAUCCGGAAUUACUGGGCGUAAAGCGUCUGUAGGUGGUUUAAUAAGUCAACUGUUAAAUCUUGAGGCUUAACUUCAAAACAGCAGUCGAAACUAUUAGACUAGAGUAUAGUAGGGGUAAAGGGAAUUUCCAGUGGAGCGGUGAAAUGCGUAGAUAUUGGAAAGAACACCGAUGGCGAAAGCACUUUACUGGGCUAUUACUAACACUCAGAGACGAAAGCUAGGGUAGCAAAUGGGAUUAGAUACCCCAGUAGUCCUAGCUGUAAACAAUGGAUACUAGAUGUUGAACAGAUCGACCUGUGCAGUAUUAAAGCUAACGCGUUA